CAACCUCCAGCCCGCCUCCAUCUCCUGCCCUGCUCCGCCCCGCCCGGCUGCCACCGCGCCGCCGGCCAUUGCCCCGCGCCGCCGCCUCCUACCCCGCCGGUGCGCCUACCCCUGCAGCCAUGGCGCAUCACCCUCCAGCUAGACCCCUCCUCGGGCAAGAUCUCCUCCCAGAGCAAGACGACGAGCACGACCCAGCCCCACCCGCGCACGUCACCGCCCCAUCCGUCGUGGCACCACCCUCCCCCUUCUCUCGAUUGACAGGAUUCGCCGCAUCUCGCGUGACGUGACACGGCUGUGCUUCACCUGUCACCGGCCUCCUUCCGGUUCCCUUGGUCGCAGACGAUGGUCAGGCACCGAUGAGGAGUUGUUCGCCAAUCGAAGGAAUGGAUGAAGGAUGUGGUAUCCAGCCGGCGAGUCCCAGCCACAUUACCUUGCCGAACGCUGUGGUGCUCAGCAAUAAUUUUUGGUUUGAUGGAUUGUCGUUGGCUGUUGCAGGUAAGAUGUUGACAAAUUGUUUCUUUCAGAUUUAGAGUGUCAUUGUACAAUGGCUUGCUAUGGGCCUAAGUAACGUAGGUUUACUGAUCAAUUUUGUAGCUAAUCAUCAGUAUCAAGAAGUAUUCACUAGCACUUCCUGUGUCGAUUGCUAUGGCUAACUUCUGUAAGGUCAUUUUUAGCCAAAAUUUGUUGUACAUGUAGACACAAGGUUCAUUAAUGGUAAUAGAUGAUUAGAGAGCAGCAAUGAAAUACUAUAUGUGCCUAAAUUGAUAUAUUUAACUCCAUGUAAGUAUUAUUAUGCAGUGGUGUAUUGUUCUUUCUCUGAAUUAUAUGUACCAAACUGUAUGUUCAGCACUACUUCAGCUUCACGUAUGUGGCAAUGUAGCUUGUGAGCCUAGCUAUAUUAUGCGCAAAUAUAAAAAUCUGCAGUUCUUUAUCAGCAUAAUAAUCAUGACCUUCAAGGGAUGCCCAUUGUAAUUUUGGUAUAUACUUGAGAUAUUUGUUUUGGUGUCUGCUUGGGAAUAAGGGUAAAAGGUCCAGAGAUGAAAGCCUCACUUCAAAUUCUGUGAUGGGUCUCUCUAACAUUGCAAUUAUGCAAUAAAUUCCUCUCGAAUUUACUAUAUAUUACCAGCUUCCUUCCAUUUAAUUUAUAUAUUUAAUCCCAUCAAUGUCUAUGUCACAUGCUUCAUCAAUGUCUAUGUCAUCAACUACGCUAUGACAGGGUAGUAGUUGCAAGUGUGCGAAGAAGGAUAACGCAUGCUAGAGCCUGCAGGUAGUAAUAGUUGAUUAUACUUGAUCGGUUUGAUCCUUUCUACACGGCAACACCAAAUUCAGUGUAUUUUUAUUGACGUAGGUACUCAAAUUCAGUAAGAGUUGGUACUGGACAUCAUGUAUACUAAUUGAUAAGGCUUUGGUUAGUUCUGAUCACCAGCCUACCGGUUAGUUUUAUCUGUGAAAAAGUUGUGCCCCUACUUUCUAAUGGAUAUGCAGCUGUGUAUUCCUAAGAAAAGUAUAUGAGCUAGGAAUUCGACUACUAGCUCAAGGACCAUCAGGGAGCUGAAUUUUUACAAUGUUUUAGAACUGAGGCAUAGCUAAAGCCCGCAGGUUUUGAAACAUUAAAGUGUAUUUAGUUCAUGUAGUUCUGUGUAUUCCAAGACCCCAAAGAAAGAAAAAGAAGAAAAGAUCAGGAAAAACAUUCCUCCAAGAACAUGUAGAGCACGACAUGGAAAAUACAAUAUAUAGUUGCUGUGCAUAUUAAUUUGUAGAGUACACCAUCAGUUUAAUGGUAAUCUCGGACUCUGCUCCUUCGCUAUUUAAAUUAAACAUACCAGACUUCCAUUAUGUGAUAAGCUAUUGAUAAAUUUUCUAAGAACAAAAGCUUUCUUUUUACAGUCCCAGUUGCAACAUGACAUCAAUUUUUCCUUAGGGGGUCUAAAAUUAAUUAGAUGAUUCCUAGCGCUUAUAGCAUUAUCUAUCUGAGGGAGCUUUUGUUGUUCGGAUUAUACCAAAGAGUCCAGGUACAUAUGCUUAAGCAGAACUAUUUAGUCACAUUUGAUAUCUUUUUUAUCACCAAAUAUAGCAGGGCAUAACUAUUUUCUUAAUCUUCACCAGGUACCACAAAAUUCAGAGUAGUUCAGCGAGUGAUAAAUAGGUUUAUCAUGUCUACCUUUUUUUUGUAUAAAGUUCAGUUGGCAAUAUUUGAAGAAUACAAGGAGCUGUGAGGUGAGUACGGAUCAAAUGAAGAAUGGGCAAAAUGCUCAGGUGUUCAAAUAGUUCUAUUUUUUCUACAUUCAGCCAACUGGAGUAUCCCGCUCUCCCUUCUAUAGGUUCUACAUUUCAAUCCUUAUUUUGUUGAAUCAUCAGGUACUUGCAUUCUAUUGUUCAAGAUGUGUAAUUUUUCUGUAAGUUUUCUGACAGUUAACAAAAUCAUUGACUUAUGAAAGAACUCUUAGUGACGAAAGUGUACAUGCAAUGAGUUAUGCAGUUCACAUACAAUUUUUACCAACAGAUAGUUUCCUUUACUUAAUUGGUUCAUUUAUUAUUCUGUAGUAAUCAAUCAUGUAUUCUUAGAGUUUUGAAGGAUCUCACAUUUCAUGUUGUCUAUAACUAAGCAUGCUUCUAACAAGGGUGAAGGAAAUAUUGUGUGGGAAUGAGUGGAAAUCUAAGCAUUCCUACUUAUAUAUAUAUAUAUAUAUAUAUAUAUAUAUAUAUACACUCUUAUAAGGGCGCGAUGCAAUUUUUCACUCUCCAAAAAACCAACCGGAGCAACUCAAAUGGCCCGCUGAAGCCCAUAACACGACCUGCUAGCGCCGCCGUCUUCCUCCCCAGGCCCCCGCUCGCGCCGCCGCCUUCCUCCCCCGCCCCCCGCUCGCGCCGCCGCCUUCCUCCCCAGGCCCCCGCUCGCGCCGCCGCCUUCCUCCCCCGGCCCCCGCUCGCGCCGCCGCCUUCUUCCCCCGGCCCCCGCUCGCGCCGCCGCUUUCCUCCUCUGUCCCCCAUCGCGCCGCCGUCUUCCCGCACUUGCCACCUAUCGCGCCGCCGCCCUCCCCUGCCCCCCAGCUCGCGCCACGGCCCGCCCUCUCCUGCAGUCCGGUGACCAAGAUGCUUCAGUCCAAAUCCAUGUGCGGGGAGCUACGAGGAUGAAUUGCUUUUUGGUUCAACUCUGAUGCAUUGUCGAUGGGAUUACGUACAAGCCAUUUUUCAAUGCAACAAGAAGAUGUACGAAAACUUGUGCCGAUGUACCUUGUCCUGAAGCUCCUAUACGCACUUAUUUGCCCAGAUGUAUGAAUCUGACCGUAAGAACAAGAUUCGUCGAUGCUCCUCUUUCUCGGCUAGUGGGCCAACACGGGUGUCCUCAUGGUGGCCUCCCUCCGACGAUCUGAGGUGCCCUCAUGGCCUCCUCUGCUUCCUACCUAGCAGAUCACGGCGGCCCUCCCCCACUUGCUGCUCAUCAUCAUCGAUCUCAACAACGAUGAGGGGCCAAAAUAAACGUGAACCUCGUCGCCCUCUUCAUGGUGCUUAAAAGUAUUUAGGUGGGUGGUUCGACACCGCUGCGUCCAGCAGUCCAACACCGCCGCCUGAGGCCGUUCACUGUCGCAAUGCCUACUUUCGCCCGCGCCUCCUUCCCGGUCAUCGUGAGGUGCUUGUUAGGACUUGGGCACGAGCUCGUCCAGCAGGGGUGCUGGCAGCCGUCCAAGUGGAGCGUUGAAAACAGUACGAGUAGAAUCACGGGUCGCGGCCACCAACUUCACCAAGUGCUGCACAUCCGUCCAAGUCGAGCACACACACAGGGAGAACACCAGCGCCUUUGCUUUGCACAUUGCUUGGUCAUGCAUAAUUGCUGAUGGAUGCAGCAAGUGUUUUAUUACUUUGAUCUUCUACAAGACUCAAUUUUUUGUCUCAGUUUUCAUGGAUGCUAGCCGGCAAGUGACAUAAUUUUGGUUGCCAUUUCUCUAUGUAGCAGAUUCCAUCCGCACAAAAAAUGCUACUGCAAAUUCUUCUAUGUAAAAUAUGAAUAAGGUUCAAUUCACAAAAACAUGUGGAAGUUCGCUUGGGAAAUUCUGCAGUCUAUUUGAUUAUGUCAGGAUGUACAGAAUGACGACUCUUUAUUGUGUGCCUUCAGCACAAUUUAAAAUUACUCAUUGACCGUA
Aegilops tauschii subsp. strangulata is the source of this 4142-nucleotide long non-coding RNA. RefSeq lists it as uncharacterized. The record is from RefSeq and is a predicted model, not a curated record. Lineage: Eukaryota; Viridiplantae; Streptophyta; Magnoliopsida; Poales; Poaceae.